This 207-nucleotide unclassified non-coding RNA is filed under the name Hevea brasiliensis (rubber tree). Lineage: Eukaryota; Viridiplantae; Streptophyta; Magnoliopsida; Malpighiales; Euphorbiaceae. The record is from RNAcentral.
AGGAACUAGAGAGUGCUGGUGAAGUGAGUUAUUACUGGACCUUUGCUUUGUAUGUCAUCGUCAAAUUGUGGUGAUGGUUUGUGUUUUGUAUAUGUGAAUUAGUAUUUCAAUUAUGCAUGAUAGGGAUGGAGGACUGACACCAUAGGAAGUAUAUAAGUGUGUUGUGAAAAAAGUAAUCCACAUUAUUCCAAGUCUUUCAUAAGAUGA